Molecule: unclassified non-coding RNA, 204 nt
Filed under: soil metagenome
Description: partial contains 5.8S ribosomal RNA, internal transcribed spacer 2, and large subunit ribosomal RNA
Source: RNAcentral
AACCUUAUGGACCUGCGGGCGUAUACCUGCGGAAGGAUCAUUACCUAGAGUUGUAGGCUUUGCCUGCUAUCUCUUACCCAUGUCUUUUGAGUACCUUACGUUUCCUCGGUGGGUUCGCCCGCCGGUUGGACAAAACUUAAACCCUUUGUAGUUGCAAUCAGCGUCUGAAAAAACUUAAUAGUUACAACUUUUAACAAUGGAUCU